AGACCCGAAACCCGGUGAUCUAGCCAUGGGCAGGUUGAAGGUUGGGUAACACUAACUGGAGGACCGAACCGACUAAUGUUGAAAAAUUAGCGGAUGACCUGUGGCUGGGGGUGAAAGGCCAAUCAAACCGGGAGAUAGCUGGUUCUCCCCGAAAGCUAUUUAGGUAGCGCCUCGUGAAUUCAUCUCCGGGGGUAGAGCACUGUUUCGGCUAGGGGGCCAUCCCGGCUUACCAACCCGAUGCAAACUGCGAAUACCGGAGAAUGUUAUCACGGGAGACACACGGCGGGUGCUAACGUCCGUCGUGAAGAGGGAAACAACCCAGACCGCCAGCUAAGGUCCCAAAGUCAUGGUUAAGUGGGAAACGAUGUGGGAAGGCCCAGACAGCCAGGAUGUUGGCUUAGAAGCAGCCAUCAUUUAAAGAAAGCGUAAUAGCUCACUGGUCGAGUCGGCCUGCGCGGAAGAUGUAACGGGGCUAAACCAUGCACCGAAGCUGCGGCAGCGACACUCAGGUGUUGUUGGGUAGGGGAGCGUUCUGUAAGCCUGUGAAGGUGGCCUGUGAGGGUUGCUGGAGGUAUCAGAAGUGCGAAUGCUGACAUAAGUAACGAUAAAGCGGGUGAAAAGCCCGCUCGCCGGAAGACCA
This 640-nucleotide ribosomal RNA is filed under the name Salmonella enterica. RNAcentral's name for it is "partial 23S ribosomal RNA". It matches the Rfam family "Bacterial large subunit ribosomal RNA", at positions 711 to 1347 of the family's 2925-position model. The record is from RNAcentral. Lineage: Bacteria; Pseudomonadati; Pseudomonadota; Gammaproteobacteria; Enterobacterales; Enterobacteriaceae.